Molecule: long non-coding RNA, 3355 nt
Organism: Bactrocera dorsalis (oriental fruit fly)
Lineage: Eukaryota; Metazoa; Arthropoda; Insecta; Diptera; Tephritidae
Exons: 2
Source: RefSeq, a predicted model, not a curated record
UCCAAUAUAUAUUAAAAACAAUUUUAUUCAGAACGUUUAAAUUUAUAUGCUAUUUAAGUAUCAUUGUUCUUCGUAAUUACAUGAGACAAUGAGUUCACAAUUCUAAAAUUGGUUUUUAAAAUAUUGUUUUUAUAAACAGGAAAUACUAAUACAGAAAUAAAACAUUGUUGCAAAGUAAUUUAAGUAUGUAAAACACAGUAUUGGCUAAAACUAAAGCUCUAUUUAGAACGUUUUUUAAUAUUGCGUCGUAAAAUAAAAAAGAAAACAAUAACUUGUUGCAUAUAUUAUUAGAUUAUGUAUUUCCCUACAAUUAUAAUAGUUAUUAUUUUCCUAAAGUUCCUGAAAGUUUUACUCAAAAUAUUUCAUGAUAGUAAAUAUUAAAGGAACAAAAUUAAAGCAGCUUCCUAGAUUGUCAAUAAAUAUGAUUCUGUGCUAAUAUUUUGUAUUGAAUAAUACUGUUGCGAAUUUGCUCCCUGCUAGUUUUACUUUACUAGGUUCGUAUCUCUGGAUUGACAAAUAAAACUAAAAGCCGUUUAAUUCAAUUCAACAACUCUUUAUUUUACAACUCGUCUACACUAUAACAGUUUACUCUUAGCACUGGUUGAUUACGUUGGCGCUGCCACGGCUUAUAUAGCCACGCACUUCUCGCUGAUGCCGACGUGUCCUUCUAGAAUAUUGCGUCUGGAAAUUACAAGAACAUAACGCUAUACGGCGCCAGACGCAAGCAGACAGCCGCGGCGCCAGACUCAGCAAUUGUUAAAGUAGACAAGCAGACAGUGCGGCGCCAGAUGUCUAUUGUUUCGACAAGCAGACAGCCGCGGCGCUAGAUGUCUACAACAAGACAAAUGCUAUUCCAUAUACCUACAGCUAUUGUUCAUAAUAAGGGAUACAUAUAGCAAUACAAAUACAACUUAAUACUACUUUUGUAACAAUACUAAGCGUGUUUUGUAUCUCCAUCCCAAUACUACAACUUAGAACGUUUUGUUAUUACCUUGGAGUAGAUUAUACUUUGGUUGGAGAUGUAUUAAAUAUCAUUAUCUCGCUGGUACCACCGGUCUAAAUGACAUUAUCUUUUUAAUUCGUAGCAAGAUUUCUAUGAAAUGUAGGUGUCCGAUCUAUUGUUACUGUAAUCGUAUCUUGAAAUAAUAUGUGUAAUUAAGUUUCAUCACAUUGGUCCAAUCAAUUUGAGCUUUGGUGAAUUUUGGUGAAAUAUUUCUUCUUGUUACUCUCACGUCACAUGUAGUUUUAUCAACUCGGGGGUUUCACCCUAUAUUUUUGGGUCACAACACUUGAAUUUUUAUUUAAAAUAUAUUUUUUUUAACUGAAGAAUAUGAAAAAUGAGUUACAAAAUACGUUCAUAUCGAGGCGAAGUAAAAUUGUUGGGCUACUCUUCUCUUCUUAUGCUCUGAUAAUUUUAAAUAUUUUCCAAUCAUUUUCAAAGUGAUAACUAGGAUAUUUGAAGAUAUAUUUUUCUUAUCUUCUUCUUCUCUUUAAUCUUUCACACAAUACGCUCGAUAGAACCUUAUACGCGAUGUUGAGCGGGCCGGGGAAUCGGGUUCGCCUUCUGCUGGCGUUAUACUUUCACCGCCCUCUAUAAUUUUAGUAUGCUCUGGGCAUCAGUCACUAGAUCACCUCAAGGUUUUACAAGAGUAUGCUCCGGUCUUGAAACCUUUUUCUAGUCGCCGCAUCUUUUCGUAGAAUUUUCGAUUUACCCUGUCGGCCAGCUUGACAAGCUCUGCGUACUCACGCAUUUCGGGCUCUUUUUUUUGUCUUCAAAUGCGUCUGGUUUCCCCUUCAACUCACGGUACCUAUCCCAUCCGGUGUUGUGGUCGGGUGUUUGUUCUUUUGCAUUUUCCGAAAACCAAUGGUUUCGGUUGCAGCUGUACGUAAGAAGCUUGAAAUGCCGUCCCACAGUUCCCUUAUACCGAGUUGUUGACGAGUGUUCUCAGAAAGCAGGGGUGCGAUUCGGGUAGAAAAUCGUUCGGCUAUCUGUUGUGAUUGCAACUUUUCGACGUCGAACCUUCUUUUGUUGACGUAGGUGCGUGUUUUUGCUGCACAGAGGCGGGUGCGAAUCUUGGCUGCAACAAGAUACGCACGUCUAGAACACUGGAGACGUGUCUUCCGUCUAUCACAACAUGUUCAAUCUGGUUGGUGGCUUUUCGAUCCGGAUACAGCCAGGUAGCUUCAUUUAUUUUCUUAUGCUGGAAUCUAGUACUGCAGAUAGCCAUAUUUCGGGCCCCGGAUAAGUCGAUCAGCCUCAACCCAUUUGUUGUUGUGUUUUCUUGUGGAUGCUAAAUUUACCGACUGUGGCGCCAAAGAUACCUUCCUUGUCCACCCUGGUGUUAAAGUCGUCAAGCACGAUUUUGACGUCGCGUCGGGGUGCGACCCAAAAGCUCAUAGAAGGCAUCUUUAGUCACAUCGUCCUUCUCUUCCGUUGGAGCACAAGCACCUACUCGCCUCAGUGUGCUAGCCUUUAUUUGCACGAAGACAUCAACCUGUUGGUCAGCGACAUCUUCUCAAUUAAGGGACCUGACGUUCCAGGUGCAUGCCCUCAAAUCGUAAUCCUUAAUGCAUUUACCAUGGUCGUCAUCAAACGGGGAUUUUCUCUUCCGAGACUUUUUGUUCCUUUUCAUGUGGGGCGUUUUUUACGUGGCGGGUCCUAAACCCAGCGCACAACCCUGUGGAGGGAAUGUUUCGCCUUCUCACUUAGCUCGCCUUCAAUCGGGUGUUCUUAGGCUACUUAGAAGAUACUUGGCCAAAGACCCAAGUGAAUGGCAAUCAGAGAAAUUUCCUCACUUCUACACAUGACUCCAUCCUCCACGUUUUCUUAUACAGAAUGUUUUUUACCAACUGUUUGUAUCAUGUUUUUAUCAAUCCGAUAUUAAAGAAUGACGUUUUUUUUAACAAAUUCUCAAACAUUUGGGAGAGAUAGGGCCUCUACUAUGUUUGCGAAUAUUGAGUUGAUAUUUAUUUAAAGUCGAAUUUGUUUUAUGCUAUUUUUCAUUACUAACUUUUUAAGUGCGGAAAAAAUUCUGAAAAUAAUUGUUUUUUGUAAUUGAUUAUAUAAGCUAAAAAUAUAUGCAAAAAGUUUUUACUAUUUAUCUGAUAUCUUUGAUUUAAGAAAAGCUAAUUUCAAAAUGUCCGCUCUGGGGGUAAUACUGGCUAUGUACGAGUGAGUACGCACAAAAUACCUGAGGUUAAAUAAACUAUAAAUCUUCGUCUUACAUUUACUAAUUUAUUUACUGUCUAUAAAUGAAACAUCAGCUGAUUGAAAAACAAACACAAUAUUUCCCAAAAUAAAUAUUUCGCAGUAAAGAUCCCAAGGAAAAAUUAAAAAUAAAUAAAAAAAAAAAAA